ACUUUGAUUUCUCCCCUUUCUCUACUCUGAAUUUUGUCAAUUACCAUACCCCUCAAUCUGUCUUCUCUACGUGUGUGUGCUGUGUGGAAUUGGGAGUCUGUGUGGGUGUUUGUUUGCUGUGAGUGAGCAAAGAAAAUUGAAGGCCCUCCUCUGUGAAUGAAGAAGCUCUAUAUGUAUAUCUCAGUGUGUGCGUAUUGUGAAGGGAUGGUGAUGUGUGUACUUAUGGUGUGCGAUGUAGUAUCGUGAGAGUGACGAUGGAAGGAGUGGUGCUAAUUCUCUUCUGUGUGUGUCUAUAUUAUGAAUUGAAUUGUUGUUCAUGAUUGUUAUCUAAUGGUGUUAAUGGAAAAAAUGAAAAAAUUAGAGGAGAAGGCAUUGGGGU
Molecule: long non-coding RNA, 379 nt
Filed under: Capsicum annuum
Lineage: Eukaryota; Viridiplantae; Streptophyta; Magnoliopsida; Solanales; Solanaceae
Description: long non-coding RNA (CANN_LNC010449)
Source: RNAcentral